RNAcentral lists this long non-coding RNA (256 nucleotides) under Elaeis guineensis (African oil palm). RNAcentral's name for it is "long non-coding RNA (EGUI_LNC064227)". Lineage: Eukaryota; Viridiplantae; Streptophyta; Magnoliopsida; Arecales; Arecaceae. The record is from RNAcentral.
CUCCCCUGCCUUCUGAGUCCCUAAUUGUAGUCUGAGUAGCAGUUGUAUAAAUUUAUAUUCCUUUGAUUUCAGUAAUAAAAAUACUGUUCUUAUGGUGCCAUAUCUGAGCGUGUUGCCUUGCCUUUUCUCGUAUCUUUUGUGCAUCUUGCUUGGUGCAUAUCGGCUGGCUUCUUUGUGCAGAUGAUAUCGGAGUGCCGCACGGAUAUGAUCUACUAAGAGACGAAGUCCGUGACAAUAUGCAUGGUAGAUGGGGCGC